UCUCAUGUUGUUGCUUUUAUCAUUAUGAAUUCCUUGCUUGUUGCCACCUAAGAUACGAUGGAGCAAGCACAAUCUUAAAGAAGAUUUGCUGAUUUUUUGUUUUUCUCAGCAGACCAGAGACAUCCAUAAAAAUUCAUCAGAGAGCAUUUUACUACUGAGCUGCAAAGGGAAAAACUUAAAAUGGAUAUGAAAAGUGAAGAAAGUGAUCAUAGGAGAAAACCAUUUCAGAUGACAAGAGCACCUCAAAGGCAGCAGCCUCAAGGAGCAGCCAUGGCCCCAGACUUGUCGCACGGAUGCAGAAAACUUAAUGGAGGAGGCUGAGGUCAGAAUGGGAAGAGUUUUUAAAAAAUAAAAAGGGGAGCUAAUAUGUGA
RNAcentral lists this long non-coding RNA (372 nucleotides) under Pan troglodytes (chimpanzee). Its description in RNAcentral is "lincRNA". Lineage: Eukaryota; Metazoa; Chordata; Mammalia; Primates; Hominidae. The record is from RNAcentral.